Molecule: transfer RNA, 76 nt
Filed under: Deltaproteobacteria bacterium
Lineage: Bacteria; Pseudomonadati; Myxococcota; Myxococcia
Description: tRNA-Leu
Rfam family: tRNA
About the family: Transfer RNA (tRNA) molecules are approximately 80 nucleotides in length. Their secondary structure includes four short double-helical elements and three loops (D, anti-codon, and T loops).
Source: RNAcentral
GCCGCCGUAGACCAACAGCAGAGUCAGUGGUCUCAGAAGCCAUCAAGUGGAGGUGCAACUCCUCCCGGCGGCACCA